CUCCUUGCCGUUGACCACUUCGUGCAGUGACUUGAGCCACUCCCUCCCCACAUCCCGCUCCUCUUAUUUUGCUCGUACACCUUGUCGGGGUCACUGCCAUCUCCGCGUCUCACCGCGCACCUGCUCUUCGCCAUGUCAUGACGGACAAGGUACGCAUCGGCUUAGCGGUACACAUAUAUACGCAAACAUAGAAGUGUCGCAGACCACAGCCGGCACAACAGGAGUUUGAAAGAGGAGGGGAUGAAGCCGUAGGGCAGACACACACACACAAGCCUCCGCCACCUCCUCUCCCGUCGUUCUCUCUCUGGGUGUGUGAACUGAGAUGGUUCAGUCCCGUUUUUUUUUUCUGGGCGGUGGAGGCGGUGUGGGGCGGGGCGGGAAAGGGAGGCUUGCAGCCUUUGCAUUCCGUAGCGGAUGUGUGUCGAAUGCGCUCUGGGCAACCCUCUUCCUCUUUUUCACCGCUCCCCCUCCCCUACCCACCUCCCUCUUUGGUGGCUUCCCUUAGGGUGGUAGGUGCUCUACAUGUACAUGCGUACGCGUAUUAUGUCUCUGUCUGUCCUCGUUCUCUCUCUCUCUCUCGCUGUCUCUGCGCAUCGUUGUCGUCGCUCCGUGCUCGCUCCUCUGCUCUUCUGCCGCAGAAUAGAGGCACAUUGUCCUACAGUGGAGCCGUGCCUUGGGGCAUUGAACGCUGACGACGAGCUCUCUCGCUCGCGAUCUCGCCCUCUUUCCUGCGUAUCUUCUCUUCUGCUCCCCAAGCCGGCAGGCGGGUGUGCAGCUGUCUCGGCGGGGGGUUCCUUCUAUUUUUUUUGUGUAUUUCUUUUCUUCUCGUACACCUUUGAGGGAUCUCCCGCUGCGACGAGGUCGAGGUCGAGGACGGGUGGAGGGAGGGAGGGAGGGGGCGGGGCGCGAUCGCGUCGUCGCUUCCUUCUCCAGCCCGAACGCGACCUUUGCUCUGCUUGCCAGCGUUUCUUCUCGUUUCCAUUUUUCUUCGAGAACGGGCCCCGUGACCUCAUGGACCCCCUUCUCUACUGCCAUUGUCACUCUCCGUGCCUUCCGAGUACGUCCCGCUCAUCCGGACCCCCUCUCCCCUUCACGCCACCACCCGGUAAGACCAGGAGGCUGGAGGGGCGAGUGGCUCCGCACUUUUUGUCCGUACACGGGCGGCAGGCAUAUAUGUGUGACGAUAUUCUUGUAUGAAUGCUGUGCACCAUGCCUCCCGAUAUGGCCUCGGUGUGCGAGCGGCGCGAUGAUGUGCACACGCACGCCCCCCCCCCCACACACACACACACACACGGCAGAAGUCGGAUCGAAAGAAUCGAAUAUGCCGUCUCUCUCAACGGCCUCGGUGUAACUCCUGUCCGGUUUCUUCUCUCCCUUCUCCCUCGUAUCGCUUCCCUUUCCCUCGCUCGCGCUGACGAAG
RNAcentral lists this unclassified non-coding RNA (1420 nucleotides) under Leishmania donovani. Its description in RNAcentral is "gene:unknown". The record is from RNAcentral. Lineage: Eukaryota; Euglenozoa; Kinetoplastea; Trypanosomatida; Trypanosomatidae.